This 850-nucleotide small RNA is filed under the name Pongo abelii (Sumatran orangutan). RNAcentral's name for it is "transcribed unitary pseudogene". Lineage: Eukaryota; Metazoa; Chordata; Mammalia; Primates; Hominidae. The record is from RNAcentral.
AUGAUGUCUGGAUACCAGGCGAGCCAUUCCAACACUCACGGCCGCUUGGGCCAUCCCAGCAACACAUCCUUUCCAGCCCGAAUUCCAGGCUGGACCAAACGCACCUUCCUGAAUGAGGCCAAGAGCCUCAAGCGCCUCCACACCCGGAGUGGCUCUGGCUUGGAGUCCAGCAGCUGCAGCAGCUGCUCUGAGCAGCCCUUCAACCCCACUAGGCUUCCGCUAGGGAGAAACUGCAUGGGCCGGCCCUGCUACUCCAAGUACACAGAAAAAAGUCACCUGGUGAACCCCAAGGUGGCCAGAAAGUCCGCUUUCCAGGGUAGCCCCCGCUGCCUGCUCUGUAAGGAUUGUCCCUCGGACUCCUCCAGCCCCACGUUCCUGGACCAGCUCAUCGAAGGCAUCAACUGCCUGGACCGAUCCACCAAUGCCUGUAACAGCUGCCACAAGACAUUGCAGAGCCUGCCAAAGCUUGCAGCCAACUACCUGGAAAGGGCUGCCAGCUCCCUCAACCUAGACCACCAGGACCACCCCUUGCCCCAAAGUUACUCCAGCCCCAGCACCAGCGUGACCAUCCCAAACAACUCCACCACCAGCACCUGCAUGGUGCCAUCCCUCAGGGGUGCCAGUGCCCUGCAGUGCCUGGAUGACUCCACCAACACGAGUUAUCCGUGCAGGUCUCAUUGCCAGAACUUCACUAUCGCACUGCCGCGGGGGCCACGUACAAAGCUGCCUGAGCUCCCUUUGCUUAGCAAUGGGCUCUUUGCCUUAGGUUGUCUGCCCAAGGUCUGGGAAGCAAUCUGCUCAGGCUGGAGUGCCCCUGAGGCCAUCUCCAAAACCGCCAAGCUGGUGGUGA